GUUUCGAUAAUAUGUUUGUGUGUUAUGUUUGCAAUAGGUGUUGCACAGCUGAAUGUGGUAAGACGUGACUAUUUUACUACAAAAGACAGAAGAAUUCUUCCUACAAUUACCACAAUCAUUCAGCAAAAAUCACGAUCACUGUCAGCGUGUGCGUCUUUCUGUUCAAUACAUAAAGCAUGCUGUGUUGCUAGCUAUGAUCGGAAAACAAAGCAAUGCAUCCUAGAUAAAUCCUGCUGCCCAGAAAGUGAGCAAUCAGUAGAUGCACUGAUGUUGAAGAUCCGAUCAG
This 286-nucleotide long non-coding RNA is filed under the name Mytilus galloprovincialis (Mediterranean mussel). Lineage: Eukaryota; Metazoa; Mollusca; Bivalvia; Mytilida; Mytilidae. The record is from RNAcentral.